CCUACGGGAGGCAGCAGUGAGGAAUAUUGGUCAAUGGCCGGAAGGCUGAACCAGCCAAGCCGCGUGAAGGACGAAGGUGCCAAGCAUUGUAAACUUCUUUUGUCAAGGGACAAAAUCAGGCUCGAGAGCCUGACCGAGUGUACUUUAAGAAAAAGCAUCGGCUACCUCCGUUCCAUCAGCCGCGGUACUACGGAGGAUGCGAGCGUUGUCCGGAUUUGUUGGCUUUAACGUGUGCGUAGGCGGACUGUUAAGUCAGCGGUAAAAGCCCGGGGCUCAACCCCGGCGAGCCGUUGAAACUGGCUGUCUUGAGAUGUCGAGAGGUAUGCGGAAUGCGAAGUGUAGCGGUGAAAUGCUUAGAUAUUGCGCAGAACUCCGAUUGCGAAGGCAGCAUACCGGCGGCGAUCUGACGCUGAGGCACGAAAGCGUGGGUAUCGAACAGGAUUAGAUACCCGGGUAGUC
This 459-nucleotide ribosomal RNA is filed under the name uncultured bacterium. RNAcentral describes it as "partial 16S ribosomal RNA". It matches the Rfam family "Bacterial small subunit ribosomal RNA", at positions 338 to 795 of the family's 1533-position model. The record is from RNAcentral.